RNAcentral lists this ribosomal RNA (459 nucleotides) under uncultured bacterium. RNAcentral's name for it is "partial 16S ribosomal RNA". It matches the Rfam family "Bacterial small subunit ribosomal RNA", at positions 338 to 795 of the family's 1533-position model. The record is from RNAcentral.
CCUACGGGAGGCAGCAGUGAGGAAUAUUGGUCAAUGGGCGCGAGCCUGAACCAGCCAAGUCGCGUGAAGGAAGAAGGUCCUAUGGAUUGUAAACCUCUUUUGUCGGGGAGCAAAAGACGCCACGAGUGGCGUUCUGAGAGUACCCGACGAAAAAGCAUCGGCUAACUCCGUGCCAGCAGCCGCGGUACUACGGGGGAUGCGAGCUUUAUCCGGAUUUAUUGGGUUGAAAGGGUGCGCAGGGGGAGGCUCAAGUCAGCGGUAAAAUUGGGGGGCUCAACCUCCUCCAGCCGUUGAAACUGGUUAGCUUGAGUGUGCGAGAGGUAUGCGGAAUGCGUGGUGUAGCGGUGAAAUGCAUAGAGAUCACGCAGAACUCCGAUUGCGAAGGCAGCAUACCGGCGCACGACUGACGCUCAGGCACGAAAGUGUGGGUAUCGAACAGGAUUAGAUACCCUUGUAGUC